GUAGUCUGCAACCCGACUACAUGAAGCUGGAAUCGCUAGUAAUCGCGGAUCAGAAUGCCGCGGUGAAUACGUUCCCGGGUCUUGUACACACCGCCCGUCACACCAUGGGAGUCGGAAAUGCCCGAAGUCUGUGACCUAACCGAGAGGGAGGAGCAGCCGAAGGCAGGUCUGAUGACUGGGGUGAAGUCGUAACAAGGUACC
Molecule: ribosomal RNA, 201 nt
Filed under: uncultured bacterium
Lineage: Bacteria
Description: partial 16S ribosomal RNA
Rfam family: Bacterial small subunit ribosomal RNA
Source: RNAcentral